GAGCACUGUUCAUGGCCUGUGAGUCUGGCCGUGGCUAAGGGGUUCCAUCCUGGUGCUACAGCAGCUCCAGCGACAUGUGACUGACUGACUCUUGACUCUACUUCAGGUCCUGGGGCAUAG
Molecule: small nucleolar RNA, 120 nt
Organism: Ursus americanus (American black bear)
Lineage: Eukaryota; Metazoa; Chordata; Mammalia; Carnivora; Ursidae
Source: Ensembl